CCUCACAUGAGCUUGCUCAGUGGCGGGCUACCCUACUUGUAGGGUUUAGAGUCGUCGGGCCUCUCGAAGAAGUCCGGUUCUGAACUCCACCCUUGAAUAAAUUACCUUUGUUGCUUUGGCAGGCCGCCUCGUGCCAGCGGCUUCGGCUGUUGAGUGCCUGCCAGAGGACCACAACUCUUGUUUUUAGUGAUGUCUGAGUACUAUAUAAUAGUUAAAACUUUCAACAACGGAUCUCUUGGUUCUGGCAUCGAUGAAGAACGCAGCGAAAUGCGAUAAGUAAUGUGAAUUGCAGAAUUCAGUGAAUCAUCGAAUCUUUGAACGCACAUUGCGCCCUCUGGUAUUCCGGGGGGCAUGCCUGUUCGAGCGUCAUUAUAACCACUCAAGCUCUCGCUUGGUAUUGGGGUUCGCGGUUUCGCGGCCCCUAAAACCUCAGUGGCGGUGCCUGUCGGCUCUACGCGUAGUAAUACUCCUCGCGAUUGAGUCCGGUAGGUUUACUUGCCAGCAACCCCCAAUUUUUACAGGUUGACCUCGGAUCA
RNAcentral lists this ribosomal RNA (536 nucleotides) under Rhexocercosporidium panacis. RNAcentral describes it as "eukaryotic LSU rRNA". The stretch from base 216 to 369 matches the Rfam family "5.8S ribosomal RNA". The record is from RNAcentral. Lineage: Eukaryota; Fungi; Ascomycota; Leotiomycetes; Helotiales.